RNAcentral lists this ribosomal RNA (460 nucleotides) under uncultured bacterium. RNAcentral describes it as "partial 16S ribosomal RNA". It matches the Rfam family "Bacterial small subunit ribosomal RNA", at positions 338 to 795 of the family's 1533-position model. The record is from RNAcentral.
CCUACGGGUGGCAGCAGUGAGGAAUAUUGGUCAAUGGCCGGAAGUCUGAACCAGCCAAGCCGCGUGAAGGAUGAAUGCGCCAAGCGUUGUAAACUUCUUUUGUAAGGGGAUAAAAUCAUCCACGAGUGCGUUUCUGAAGGUACUUUAUGAAUAAGGAUCGGCUAACUCCGUGCCAGCAGCCGCGGUAAUACGGAGGAUCCGAGCGUUAUCCGGAUUUAUUGGGUUUAAAGGGAGCGUAGGUGGGUUGUUAAGUCAGUGGUGAAAGUGUGCGGCUCAACCCUAAAAGUGCGGUUGAACCUGGCCGGCUUGAGAAGAGUAGAGGUGUGCGGAAUGCGUGGUGUAGCGGUGAAAUGCUUAGAUAUCACGAAGAACUCCGAUUGCGAAGGCAGCUCACUGGACUGCAACUGACACUGAGGCUCGAAAGUGUGGGUAUCAAACAGGAUUAGAUACCCUUGUAGUC